This 6412-nucleotide long non-coding RNA is filed under the name Sus scrofa (pig). Its description in RNAcentral is "lncRNA (ENSSSCG00055019989.1)". Lineage: Eukaryota; Metazoa; Chordata; Mammalia; Artiodactyla; Suidae. The record is from RNAcentral.
CUUAGAACUGGGGUUCUUAGAAGUGGUGAUGCAAGAAGUUUCUAGGAAAGGCCGGACACCAGGUGAUUAUUGCUGUUGCUGCCGCCGCUGCUGCUGCUGCCGCCGCCGCCGCUGUUGCCGCUGGUGCCGCUGCCGCCGCCGCUGCUCAUGAUCAUUAUUUUACCUUUUAAUUCUUUUUUUUCCGCUCUUGCCAAAUGCUUUGGCUCCAAGUUUCCUGUGUGCAUCUAUUGAUGUAUAUGUAUAUAUUUAUUUAUUGUAGCUGUCAGGUGUUAAAAUAAAUGCCGAAGAUUAGUCCCACGUCUCUCCCACUCUAGGAUAUAGAUUUUUAUAUAUUUAUUAUUUUUUUCUUGUUGUCUUUGAGUGAAUCGGCCGGUUUGGGGAGGCUUUUGCCACCCUCCCUUGUGUUGUUUUGGUUUUUGAAGAGGAGGUGGAGGAGAGGAAGGAGGGGAAUUAGGGGGCGGCCGAAGCAGAGAGGACGAGACAGUGCUUAGGGGGUGAUUCGGGCAAGUCUGGGGGCUGUCUGGCCCCAGACCGCGGAGAGGACGCGCUCUCGCGCUCUCGCUCUUUCUGCUGCUGCUUGCGUACGGCUUUUGAUCUUGCUGGAUUCGUGCGGCUGUGUUUUUUCCCUCUUUUCUCGCUUGCGAACUGCCUUUCUUGCUCCCUCGCUCUAGCCUCCCCUUCCCUCCCUCCCUCCCUCCUCCUUUCCCUCACCUCUCCUUCCUUCCCCUCUCCCGUCCUUCUUGGUAACUCUGGGAGGCGAGGAGGGAGGCUGCCCGCUCGCUCGCCCCGCUGGCUCCCUUCCAUCGGCCUCGGUCCUCUAGAUUCCCUAUCUCCGAGCCGAGAUUUGGGAGGAAAAAUGCAAGCGAACUCCUUGGGCUUCCCCCCCUCCCCCUUAAACCCAGAUGAAGUAUUGGUUCUACUAUUUCCUUUCAGAGCCGUGGUCUUCCUAAUGAGAUCUGAAUGUUUUGGUGUCCCCUUCCCUGUGUUUUUGGGGGAGGUUUAGCUUGCCUGGGGGCGGGGAUGUUGAAUACUUUGAAAAUUAUUCUUUCUUGGUUGUAGUCUAGGGAGUCGGGAACCCCCGCGCGCUCUCUCUCCCCAUCCUGGGGAGCGAGACUUGUGGCGGGAUGGGGAUUUUGGGGGUGGGCGGAAAAGGAUGCGCUUUUGCACCUGCGGUGCUGUUCUGCGUGCGGGGACUCCGGGAAUCUUCACAGGCCCGCCCAGCCCAGCGGGAAGGUGGCGGGAUUUCUGGCGGUCGCGGUGUUUGUAUUUUGGGCUCUGCGUGACUCGGUGUUAGCUCCCAAUGGCUGUUCCCUCGCUUUCCUAAAUUUUAUUUUUCCCAUGGUGCAAGCUUUGUACAAACAAACAAACAAAAAGCUGCGGGUCAGAAAGUAGCCGGCGUCAGGCUUCAGAUUGUCGAGGUCCUUGCACUGGGCAAGGGGAAAAACAAACUGCCCCAGCCCGUGUUCCUACGUGCAGGACCCGGGAGGAGAGAAGGGCACUUUGUGGCCCUGGCUGGGGGAAUCCGGCGCGGAAGGAGGGGGCGCGGGCGCGAAUGGGAGAUCUUUGUGAGUGAUUUUGCAAAAAAAAACGGAUUGUGAGGUUGGUUGGAUUUGCAACCUGUGGCUCUCCUCGAGGGAGUAAGAAUGGGGGAAGGCGGCGGCGGCGGCGGCGGCGGCGGCCCGGGGCGGGAGCGGGUAGGGAGUUGGAGCCUCGGAAGGCUGCGCUAGGGAGCUGCGGGAGCGCUGGGCCACCCCGCUGCCGGAUGUAGUGACCGUGGUAAAUGUCUUGAGAAUGUGGAUUGCGUUGCCUUUAUGAUGCCGUGUUAUUGGAACUCUAGCCAAAAAUGGAACUAGUGUUGCAAUAAUGAGUUUUAAAAGCUACCCUAUGGAAAACUAGUACACAACCCUACAGAUUGGAAAAAGACCCUUUUUGUGUUGUGCCCUUUCUCGACGUUUGUCUUGGUGCUAGGGGUCCUGACAGCUGAGCGGAAGGAAUGACCCUAAACUGGGUGCGCAAAGUCCAGAGCUGUUACUCGGUCCCUGACCUCUUCAGUGAACUAGCCAUCCCCCCACCUCAAGGAAACUGAUUGAAUUUUACGGAUCUUUUUUUUUUUUUCAAUCAGUUUAUAGCUUCCAGGAGGAAAAUCUUGUGCUUUACUUUUUUUUUUUUUUUUUAAGUAAAGUGUCAGUAGAUGCAUUUUUUUACUGCCCGGAAAAAAAAAAAAAAAAUGGGGCAGGAGAGAAGGAACCAGGGAAAGGGCUGUUUAGAAAUACAGUUUGUGGGUCUGAGCGAUGCCGCCAGCUUCCUCUACAGAGACUGCCAGUUUCCCUUUUCUUUGCAAGGUGUGUGUGGUUUUAAUAAAUAACUUAAAAAGGGGGGGGGGCAAGAUCCAUCAGGAGACAGGUAUCUAUUUUGCUCACUAUUUACUACCAAGAGCCUUUGGCACUGGAACAGAACCUCGUAAAUCUGCAGCCCAAGUUGAAGUUCAUCUGGCCCUAGUCCACACGCUAUUCCUGGAGGUAGCAAACAUGAGCUCAAAGGAACAAGGUGAAAUCACAUUCUUGCUUUAAAAUAUAUGCUUUUUUUUUUUUUAAAGGAGAAAAGAUAUUUGUUCCUGGGGGAGGAGGAAAUGGAAAGGGAGUACCAGGAGAGGGGCAUUCCUUUCAUAAAAUGACUGUAAUUGAGUCUUCAGGCCAAAAUAGAAACCUGUAAAUGGGAAAUAUUCCCCUCCCCCCACUUAAAAAUAGAAAUUUCCAAUAUCCUAUUUGGAAGCCUGGGUUGGACUCUUCUGCCUUUCGCCUCCAGGGCCCCCUUUCAACACGGGAAUCAGAAGUUUACUCCCGACUUUUUUUUUGCUAGUCGACUAGUGUUUGGCAGGAAACUCUGAUAAUACUGUUGAGUGCCAUUCUGCUUUUUGAAGACAAGUGCACCCUUUCUCUUCCCAAUACAUUCAGCCUUUCAGGCUGGAAAAAUCAACGUAUGAAACAUGAACACAGCUGCAGAUACUGAGUUGUGGCUCCUAGAGGCGUGGACAUCGGGAAGAAAAUAUAUAUAUAUAUCCAGUAAAUUAAGUGUUUUCCAGUAUUGACCUAUGGAGGCCCCCCCCCAUCAAAAAAAAAAAAAAAUGAUGGGGGCAGUCGGGUGUGGAAGACGAUUUUGGACGGACUGAGUCCGCCACCUAGUGGUAGGUCCUGGCUGAGUUCCCCAUGCCUUGGGCAGGGGACCGACGGAGUCACCUUCCUGUCCCUAAGUAUCCUAACGAGGUGCUAGGACUGAGAGAGGGCAACCUCCAAUAAGAAUGACAUCUGACCUCCAGAGUUUUGGUAAAAUGGAUGACAAUUAGCCUCCGUCCACAGUCGCCCAGCGUGGGCAUCCCUCCGCUAAGAGAACCAAAAAGUACCCCGUUUUGAGAACACUGCUUCCCCGCUUCUGUGGCCUCUCCCCAAGGAAAGUCAAUAGUGGAGGGAUGUCACGGAGGCUGUAGGACAUACAGUUCUUUACAGGUGAGGAGUCAAGCCUAAUGAGAGGGUUAAUGGCCAGUUAGUGACCUAACCGGAACUGGAUUUUAAGCUUCUGAAUUCCAGGUCAGUGACUUAAAGUCAAAGGCGAGUUUAAUCUCCGUCCCUUUGAGGAAUCUAAGAGAAAGGAGCAGGUGGAAACGGUUCCCUCUCUGUCUCCGAGGAAUUUGUUUAGAAAGUAUGGCCCAAGAUUUUCAGUAACAGAUGUGAAAAGCCUACUGUAGUGCUGAGGGGUGUGUGUGUGUUGGGGGAGGGGUCUCAGAACUUGGGAGGGAGUGUGCGUGUGUUAGGGUGUGAUUAAGGCCCAGUCCCUAGACUUGCAGAAAUGCACCUUGCUGCGCCGGAGGCUCACAUUUGAAUCCUAAAAUAGCUCUUUUCCUUUUCUAAACUUUGCUUAGUGGCUUGAUGUGAAAUCACGCGCGUGUGUGUGUGUGUGUGUGUGUGUGUGUGUCCGUCCUAUGGACAGGCAGAGUGUAAUCCACAACAGCUUCUCAGCAAAGUUUUCUUUCUUGGAGCUCAAAACUUAAGAUGGCAAACGCGCGCCGAGUGCUGGCGUCCCCUAGCGACCGCCGGCGCGCACACCCGUGGGUGAAGCGGUUGUUUCCAUCGCUCUGGUCGGCCAGAAUCGAGUUCUGCCUCUCCCACUGCGGGAGCUGUUGGAGGCCGCGUGGGAGAAACGCGCCUCUGUUCAGGUUGGAAGCGAAUCUGGGGACGUGUUUGAAGAGCGGUCAAGUUUGACUCAUCGCUUUCCAAGGACAGUUAGUGCCUUCCAUCUUCAUUAACGUGAAUAAAGACCUUGGCUGACUUCUGUCCAGAUCGGAUUUUUAAAGGCAUUGUUUGCUUGGGGAGAUCAUUGCCUCUCCCCUCCCCCGCCAGCCUUUUUGCAAAGGCCGGGCCCCGUCCAGCCAGAAUAGCCAAAAUAUCUCUACUCGUGGUCUGCUGGCAUUGACUGCCGGCCCUUUCUGGAAGGCUGUCGCGAGCUGGGCGCCUGGGGAGCGUCCCUUCUGCAGCUCCUCUUCAGAUCUUGAUGAUAAAACACAUCCCUCUAUUUUAAUGCAUUUCCUAGAAGCUUGCAGGCUUGCAAGAGCACUGUUGGCAAGAAAUGUGAUAGAAAUGAAAGGACAUAAAGUCCCUGAACACCUCCUCGGUCACUCAAAGCGACUGCCGAGGCCACCGUGUUAUCAAAUUCGCUUUUAUCUACUGUCGUCUCCCCCACCCUUCUGCACCCGCCCCCCCAGGCAAGAACGCGAAGAGUGUUUCUCCCCUAGGACAAUAACGGCUCGGCAGUUUGACCCUGCCNNNNNNNNNNNNNNNNNNNNNNNNNNNNNNNNNNNNNAGCAGCUGAUUAGCCUAAAAGACACUGCAGAGAAAGGGAGCGCUCCUGCUGGAGCCCUGACGCGAGUUUCACUGCGGCAGCUUAUUAAAAUUCCUCGUCCCUGCCCCUAAACAGUGCUUUGCACUUCCAUAUUCUCCUUUGGAUUUCUCAACGAGUUAUUGGAGUUAUUAGAUUACCAAGUAUCCAAAGCCGAACGGGAUAGAGAAGGGGGAAGGGUGGAAGGCAUUCUCCAAAUCGGGAGACUGUGUCUAAACUAGGUCAAUGGAAGGAGGGGCGGGGCGACAAGGAGUUGUCCGUUUCAAGCCUUGGUGGAGGGCUCCCUCUAGUGUUAGGCAGCGAUAGAACAUCAUUAGGUUUGAGCUCCAGGAACCACGGGACUCCUAAUUUCCAAUAAGUGCAUUUACUUAAUUUUAGCUUCCCUUCCUAGACUCACACCCCAUCGCGUAUUACAUUUCAGCCUUCGCUUUCACUUUUAUCUCACCGGGCAAGGAGAUGAGAAAGUAAGAUUUUAUGAGGCCAAAGAGGCCUAGUUUUUACUGACCCCGCCUCCGCUGCUGCUGUGGUGCGCAGCGUAGUGCGACGCUACCCGCCAGUUUUAGGACUGGACUGCGGCCUUAGAGGCUACCUCUUUUCGUGCCCCCCAUUCCCUACCCCUGGCCCCUGAAAGUGUUUCUCAGAGCCUGCUGCUGCGACCGAUUAAGAUAUUGCCCCCAGGGGUUAUAAUUUCGAGGAAGGCAACCUUGGUGCGCGCCCAUGAACGCGCUGGGGUUUGCGUUCAGGCCCCUGCCGAAUCCCGACCUUUUCUCUUUUUUUCCAAAGAAAUUGGAUUCGGAAAUCCCGAAAUCUGCCCAGCUUCGCCGUAGUAGCUCCUGUUCUAAAGACCUUGGGCGGAAACCUAAUAGAGUUGGGUUCCCUUUCUUGCCAACGUAGGCGGAAGGGGCUUUCGGUUUAGUUUUCUCCACCUCGGGUGCGGCGCCCUGGAUGGCGACCCUCAGCCCCAGGGACUCCAUCUUUUUGACCUCGAGGCCUUGCCAAACCGCUCCCUUUAAAAUAGGGGGUGGAGGGGCCAGGACAGAGAAAAAAAGACGCACCAGGCAAACACACACUGGGAUUGGGUAACUUGUUUGAAAUAAGCCUGGGAUUGGACCCGAAACCAAUCUAGACCGGCUGUGCAACUAAAUUGUCUGACUUUCCCCAUUUAUAAAAUUGUAGGGGUUGGGUUGGACUAGGUGAACUCUAAGCGUCCUGAGCCCGGCGCGGGCGAGAGAUUUAGGGGAAAGUGUGCCAUAUUCCCCGCGAGCCUACCCGGGCCACCCCCCCCCCCCCCGCCCCCGGUGAAUCCCCGGCGGCCCGUGCGGCGCAGGCAGAGAUCCUGGCGACUGCCUGGGCAGGCAGCUUCCUGGAAAGUUACUUCUCGUUGGAGCCGGCGAUAGGCAGAGAGUGUUCUGUGAAAUCCGCUGAGUUGAGAUCGACUACGUUCCGGGAAUGAGAGGGCUGUGCCAUUCCCCUCACUGCCCCCUGCCUUGACAGCGUAACAGGAAAAAAAAAAAAAAAAAAA